ACUGCUGAUGCUUCACCUUUGGAAUCGGAGGGCUUGGAGGAGAAGAGAUCGUCGGCGAGCUUGACCUUGCCGUCGCCCAUGUUUGGUGGAGCUCGAAGGUGAACAGAGAGAUCCAGAAAGAUCGGUAGAAGAACAAGAAAGAGAAGAAGAGUAUGAAGACGAAGAUGAAGAUUAAGAAGAUGAAGAAGAAGUGGUUUCAAGUGACGACGGCGAAGGGCGAAGGGCGAAGGGCGAAGGUUGGGAGGAGCUCUUCCAGGCGAGUGGUUUCGAAGGUGAAAGAGUGGUUUUCGAAGAUUAGGGUUAGUGUCAAUAGGUUGGGGACCGGGUUGGGGACCGGGUUUUGGGGCCGGGUUAUAGUCAAUGGGUUGGGACCCUCUGGCCACGCUUAUAAAAUGUCGCUGUUUCACUCUACGGCCACGCUUUCGAAGCGUGGCAGAAAAAAAACUUUUGGCCACGCUUUUAAAGCGUGCCAAAAGAGUACCAGGAUA
Molecule: non-coding RNA, 488 nt
Organism: Arachis ipaensis
Lineage: Eukaryota; Viridiplantae; Streptophyta; Magnoliopsida; Fabales; Fabaceae
Source: RefSeq, a predicted model, not a curated record